GCUGAGGAAAAGAAACCAACCGGGAUUGCCUUAGUAACGGCGAGUGAAGCGGCAAAAGCUCAAAUUUGAAAUCUGGUACCUUCGGUGCCCGAGUUGUAAUUUGGAGAGGGCAACUUUGGGGCCGUUCCUUGUCUAUGUUCCUUGGAACAGGACGUCAUAGAGGGUGAGAAUCCCGUGUGGCGAGGAGUGCGGUUCUUUGUAAAGUGCCUUCGAAGAGUCGAGUUGUUUGGGAAUGCAGCUCUAAGUGGGUGGUAAAUUCCAUCUAAAGCUAAAUAUUGGCGAGAGACCGAUAGCGAACAAGUACAGUGAUGGAAAGAUGAAAAGAACUUUGAAAAGAGAGUGAAAAAGUACGUGAAAUUGUUGAAAGGGAAGGGCAUUUGAUCAGACAUGGUGUUUUGUGCCCUCUGCUCCUUGUGGGUAGGGGAAUCUCGCAUUUCACUGGGCCAGCAUCAGUUUUGGUGGCAGGAUAAAUCCAUAGGAAUGUAGCUUGCCUCGGUAAGUAUUAUAGCCUGUGGGAAUACUGCCAGCUGGGACUGAGGACUGCGACGUAAGUCAAGGAUGCUGGCAUAAUGGUUAUAUGCCGCCCGUCUUG
RNAcentral lists this ribosomal RNA (592 nucleotides) under Saccharomyces cerevisiae (brewer's yeast). RNAcentral describes it as "eukaryotic LSU rRNA". It matches the Rfam family "Eukaryotic large subunit ribosomal RNA", at positions 50 to 656 of the family's 3401-position model. The record is from RNAcentral. Lineage: Eukaryota; Fungi; Ascomycota; Saccharomycetes; Saccharomycetales; Saccharomycetaceae.